AAACCUAUGGGCCCAGGCUGUUAGGGCCACCAAAUGAUAUUACAAAUACUGAGUGUCUGGUUAGGAGAAACAAAUAUAAUGUACCCACAGGGAGUAGCGCCAUUUUAAUAUAAAUUGCCAAAAAUCCCUGAGAUAAGUCAUGCAGAAUAUGUAAAAAGGUUUUUGGAUUUUCAGCCAAUCAGAAAGCAGCACGACUCAAAUAGAACUCCCGUGAGGUCACACAUGUGAUGUCAUCACCAUUGUCAUCAGUGAGGGGCCUAAACUGUAGGAACCUAGGAAUACACAUUCAUACCCGCCUGUGACUGAUGCACACCUUCCAGGCUGUGGGGCAGCACAUACACCGACACUUUGCCCAAAUUCUAGAGGUAACCUCCUUUAGUAUGCCCAGAGGAAGGGCAGUACAGUAGCCAUGGAUUCCCUACAGGUUUCCUCCCCUCUGGAGGUUUUUCCUGUCCUGAGUUAGUUACUGUCCGCUCUUUGUGAGUGAUGGAGGUUACAUAAAAUCCCUACACAAACAUUUUUGUAAAUAAUAAAUAAAGUUCCCUUUGUUUAAACUGUU
Molecule: long non-coding RNA, 559 nt
Organism: Hyla sarda
Lineage: Eukaryota; Metazoa; Chordata; Amphibia; Anura; Hylidae
Exons: 2
Source: RefSeq, a predicted model, not a curated record